ACGCUCGACACCUACGGGACAGCAGUAGGGAAUCUUCCACAAUGGGCGCAAGCCUGAUGGAGCAACACCGCGUGAGUGAAGAAGGGUUUCGGCUCGUAAAGCUCUGUUGUUGGAGAAGAACGUGCGUGAGAGUAACUGUUCACGCAGUGACGGUAUCCAACCAGAAAGUCACGGCUAACUACGUGCCAGCAGCCGCGGUAAUCUGAGCGGGCUGGCAAGGC
This 221-nucleotide ribosomal RNA is filed under the name uncultured bacterium. RNAcentral's name for it is "partial 16S ribosomal RNA". It matches the Rfam family "Bacterial small subunit ribosomal RNA", at positions 326 to 539 of the family's 1533-position model. The record is from RNAcentral.